This 68-nucleotide transfer RNA is filed under the name Elephantulus brachyrhynchus (short-snouted elephant shrew). Its description in RNAcentral is "tRNA-Asp". The record is from RNAcentral. Lineage: Eukaryota; Metazoa; Chordata; Mammalia; Macroscelidea; Macroscelididae.
GAGAUAUUAGUAUAACUAUUACAUAACUUUGUCAAAGUUAAAAUAUAAACUAACCUUUAUAUGUCUCU